UAAUCUGCCUUGGAGUGGGGAAUAACGGCUGGAAACAGCCGCUAAUACCGCAUGAUACAGCUGGGAGGCAUCUCCCUGGCUGUCAAAGAUUUAUCGCUCUGAGAUGAGCUCGCGUCUGAUUAGCUAGUUGGCGGGGUAACGGCCCACCAAGGCGACGAUCAGUAGCCGGACUGAGAGGUUGGCCGGCCACAUUGGGACUGAGACACGGCCCAGACUCCUACGGGAGGCAGCAG
RNAcentral lists this ribosomal RNA (233 nucleotides) under uncultured bacterium. RNAcentral's name for it is "partial 16S ribosomal RNA". It matches the Rfam family "Bacterial small subunit ribosomal RNA", at positions 122 to 354 of the family's 1533-position model. The record is from RNAcentral.